AUGAUUUGGGAAUUAACUAACCUUCGGGUUAAUCAUCAGAAUCAAAAUUUUCAUCGUCUUUCAUGUACUUCUCCUGCACUGCUGCUGUUUAAUCCCAAUCUGUUUGUCCAAUAGCGAUUUUGCUGAACUCAACUGCACUAGCAUCAAUGCCUUGAAAUAUAUAUCCAUUCGUCUUGUCUAUUAGUUUCACAAGAUUUGUAACACUCUCUUUGUCCUGAAAAAAAAAAACGUCAAAACCAAUUAAUAUCAAUCAUGCGUACAUAUCCUACUUAAUAAAAUAGUUUGCAGAAAUCAUCAUGCCUGAAUAGCCAAGGUAGUGAAGUUCACCAAACCAAAAUCCUCAAUUACUUCACAGAGUUCUUUUGUGAGUU
This 371-nucleotide long non-coding RNA is filed under the name Helianthus annuus (common sunflower). RNAcentral's name for it is "sRNA HanXRQr2_Chr09g0396311". Lineage: Eukaryota; Viridiplantae; Streptophyta; Magnoliopsida; Asterales; Asteraceae. The record is from RNAcentral.